CCCUUAGAUGUUCUGGGCUGCACACGUGCUACACUGGCAGGUUCAGCGAGCUUCAUGCCCUGAUCUGAAAGGAAUGGGAAAUCUUUUCAAAACCUGCCGUGCUUGGGAUAGAUGUUUGCAAUUAUUCAUCUUCAACGAGGAUUGCCUUGUAAGCGCACGUCAUCAGCGUGCAUUGAAUACGACCCUGUAUUCUGUACACACCGCCCGUCGCUCCUACCGAUUGAACAAUCCGGUGAAUAAUUCGGACAGUCGUGCAUUAUAGUUCGCUAUUUUGCUUGUACUGGAAGUCUAGUGAACCUUAUUGUUUAGAGGAAGGAGAAGUCGUAACA
RNAcentral lists this ribosomal RNA (329 nucleotides) under uncultured eukaryote. RNAcentral's name for it is "partial 18S ribosomal RNA". It matches the Rfam family "Eukaryotic small subunit ribosomal RNA", at positions 1470 to 1796 of the family's 1831-position model. The record is from RNAcentral.